RNAcentral lists this ribosomal RNA (440 nucleotides) under uncultured bacterium. RNAcentral's name for it is "partial 16S ribosomal RNA". It matches the Rfam family "Bacterial small subunit ribosomal RNA", at positions 338 to 795 of the family's 1533-position model. The record is from RNAcentral.
CCUACGGGUGGCAGCAGUGGGGAAUAUUGCACAAUGGGGGAAACCCUGAUGCAGCGACGCCGCGUGAGGGAAGAAGUAUUUCGUUAUGUAAAGCUCUAUCAGCAGGGAAGAAAAUGACGGUACCUGAGUAAUAAGCACCGGCUAACUACGUGCCAGCAGCCGCGGUAAUACGGAGGGGGCAAGCGUUAUCCGGAUUUACUGGGUGUAAAGGGCGCGUAGACGGCAGUGCAAGUCUGAAGUGAAAGGCGGGGGCUUAACCCCAGGACUGCACUGGAAACUGUACGGCUAGAGUGCGGGAGAGGUAAGUGGAAUUCCUGGUGUAGCGGUGAAAUGCGUAGAUAUUAAGAGGAACACCAGUGGCGAAGGCGGCUUGCUGGACUGUAACUGACGUUGAGGCUCGAAAGCGUGGGGAGCAAACAGGAUUAGAUACCCUUGUAGUC